Molecule: long non-coding RNA, 1526 nt
Filed under: Helianthus annuus (common sunflower)
Lineage: Eukaryota; Viridiplantae; Streptophyta; Magnoliopsida; Asterales; Asteraceae
Description: hypothetical non coding rna
Source: RNAcentral
GUUGGUGGGGUGUGUGACGCAGGGAAAGGGGAGAAGAGGGGAAAACCCUUCUUCUCCAAAUCAUCAAGAACCUAACAAUUGGAGGCGUUUAUGGAUGAAAUUCGUAUGCAUGUGAUCGAUUUCUCAAUCAUCUAAGGGUUUCCAACAUGUGGUAUCGCAUGAGCAUGGAAGGCAAAUGGGUCAAGAGGAGGCAAGAAAGCGAAUGCGAAUAGGAACGCUUAAGGUAACUGAAUGUCAAACUUACCCUUUUGACUUAAUAUGUUUUGUUGUUUAGUAAUUUAUUUAGAGUCAUGUAAGAGAGUAUGAAUUAAAGGUAAUGAUAAGGUAAGUCUAAUGGAAAAGAGUCGAAUGUGGUUAGUAAGUCGGGAAGUGCAUAAUAAAGAUCAAACGGGUCAAAUUAAUGCGCAUGAAUAAUAUAAUGUAAUCGUAAUUCUUAAUGGUUAGGACUCUGGGGUAAGGAUUUCUAGUCAAUUAUGUAAGGGAAUAUUUUACGGACCGUUAGGAACAAGUUUUAUAUGAUUCGGAUGUGUGUGGGACAAGAUGUGGGAGUUUUAGUGAUUAAAAUGGGAGUUGAGUUGGGCACUACCGUAGCUUACGGUAGCCACCGUAAGCUAUGGUAGGUUCUGGAGUCUUUUUGGUCACCGUAAGGCAGUAGCAUCUCACCGUAAGGAUUUUAUGGCCACCGUAAGCUAUGGUAGCCACCGUAGCUUACGGUGGAACUGUCACGCCCCGCGAAAUAGUAAGCCAAGGCUUACCCGGCCCGUGAGGGACCGUGCUGCUGGCAUUUUGCUGAAUUGGUUUUGAUAUUCUGAGCAUAGGACUUGACUAAAAAGGGUUUUCCAAGGCCUCAUAACUUACGUUAAGAAUGGUUUCGAAUAUAAUUGAUGUUAAAGGUCGUCGGUUAGUGAAUGGACGGAUUGUUUUCGUGUUAGUGUAGGAAAUUUAUAAGCAUAUAUGUAUAGGAAUCUAGAAGGCACGUAGGUCGAUUUGUAUAUCGUCUAUACUAUGUAAAGUUAUGAACAUGUCAUUUCGGCAUAAACCUAUAUCUAAGAAGUGGUAAACAGGAAUUUGUGUAUAUAUUCGUGAAUAAUUGUUUGUGCGUAGGAAGGGACAUAGGCAUGUAUCAAGGCGUUUGAGUAUUUACGAUUACUAAUGAUGUGCUUGAGUUGGAAUGUAAUGCAGGUAUGAGAUUGUCAGGUUCAUGAAGGAAUGAAACCGGGUUUGGAUAAAGAGUUUUUAAGAAAGCACUUGGACAAUUCCACGUUUACUUCAUAGAAUGCUUUACGAAUUUCUAUUAUAUAGUUUAAUGUUGUAUGGUGUGUUAAUGGCUAAUGGUUGGGUUGUACGUGGUGUCCACGGGUAUCGCUCGAGUUUUCUCUACCACUAGCAAAGUGAAGCACACAUAGAUCGAGUUGAGAGCAAGGAUUGUACGGGAAAGAAAGGUCACAUAGUUUGUUUUAAAUAGGUCAUGAAACCUUGAUAUAAUGUAACAUUGUGAAUCCUUUCUAAUGAAUGUAUUACAGUUU